Molecule: ribosomal RNA, 468 nt
Filed under: uncultured bacterium
Lineage: Bacteria
Description: partial 16S ribosomal RNA
Rfam family: Bacterial small subunit ribosomal RNA
Source: RNAcentral
GACGAACGCUGGCGGCGUGCUUAACACAUGCAAGUCGAACGGAAAGGCCCUGCUUUUGUGGGGUGCUCGAGUGGCGAACGGGUGAGUAACACGUGAGUAACCUGCCCUUGACUUUGGGAUAACUUCAGGAAACUGGGGCUAAUACCGGAUAGGAGCUCCUGCUGCAUGGUGGGGGUUGGAAAGUUUCGGCGGUUGGGGAUGGACUCGCGGCUUAUCAGCUUGUUGGUGGGGUAGUGGCUUACCAAGGCUUUGACGGGUAGCCGGCGUGAGAGGGUGACCGGCCACAUUGGGACUGAGAUACGGCACAGAGUCGUACGGGAGGCAGCAGUGGGGAAGAUUGCACAAUGGGCGGAAGCCUGAUGCAGCAACGCCGCGUGCGGGAUGCCGGCCUUCGGGUUGUAAACCGCUUUCGCCUGUGACGAAGCGUGAGUGACGGUAAUGGGUAAAGAAGCACCGGCUAACUACGUG